Molecule: ribosomal RNA, 397 nt
Filed under: uncultured bacterium
Lineage: Bacteria
Description: bacterial SSU rRNA
Rfam family: Bacterial small subunit ribosomal RNA
Source: RNAcentral
AACGAACGCUGGCGGCGCGCCUAAUACAUGCAAGUCGAGCGAGAAGACGUAGCAAUACGUUUGUAAAGCGGCGAACGGGUGAGGAAUACAUGGGUAACCUACCCUCGAGUGGGGAAUAACUAGCCGAAAGGUUAGCUAAUACCGCGUACGCUCCUUGGACUUCGGUUCAGGGAGGAAAGCGAUACCGUGGGUAUCGCGCUCUUGGAUGGGCUCAUGUCCUAUCAGCUUGUUGGUGAGGAACGGCUCACCAAGGCUUCGACGGGUAGCUGGUCUGAGAGGACGAUCAGCCACACUGGCACUGCGGCACGGGCCAGACUCCUACGGGAGGCAGCAGUAAGGAAUAUUGCGCAAUGGGCGAAAGCCUGACGCAGCGACGCCGCGUGGGGGAGUGAAGGUC